AUGAAGAAAACAGGGAGGCAAAAAAGUAUAGUAGAAGAAAUCAUAUCAAAGGCUAAAGUGACUUGUUCGGGGUGCAAGAAGCAAGGACACAAUAUUACAGGUUGCAAGCAAAUAGAACAAGAGUCACCACAAAAACCUACAAAGACAGCCAAAAGAAAGAAUGCAAAGCAAAGUAAAGAGGAGUCUGCAAAAAAAAGAGGCAAAAGGCAAGAAGUAAUGCUUAUUCAUGCAAUGCGAAAGAAGAAGGGAUGCUCACUGUCUGAAGAACAACAUUGCAAAAGCAAACAAAAAGAUAUGGGUGAAAAAAAGAUCAACAAUAGGAGUAUUUGUUAA
Molecule: ribosomal RNA, 333 nt
Filed under: Triticum aestivum (bread wheat)
Lineage: Eukaryota; Viridiplantae; Streptophyta; Magnoliopsida; Poales; Poaceae
Description: partial small subunit ribosomal RNA
Source: RNAcentral